CCAGUGGGAUCACAGCGCCUCCCAGUACAUCCCAGUGCCUCCCAGUAUCACCCAGUGGCUCCCAGUACAUCCCAGUGCCUCCCAGUAUCACCCAGUGGCUCCCAGUACAUCCCAGUGCCUCUCAUUGUCUCCCUGUGGGACCCCAGUGCCUCCCAGUAUCACCCAGUGGCUCCCAGUACAUCCCAGUGCCUGCCAGUACCGCCCAGUGGCUCCCAGUACAUCCCAGUGCCUCCCAGUAUCGCCCAGUGGCUCCCAGUUCCAUCCCAGUGCCUCCCAGUAUCACCUAGCACCUCCCAGUUCUAUCCCAGUGCCUCCCAGUAUCGCCCAGUGGCUCCCAGUUCCAUCCCAGUGGCUCCCAGUAUCUCCCAGUGCCUCCCAGUAUCGCCCAGUGCCUCCCAGUAGCUCCCAGUGCCUCUCAGAGCCAUCCCAGUACCUCCCAGUAUCACCCACUGGCUCCCAGUUCGAUCCCAGUGCCUCCCAGUAUCACCCAGUGC
This 494-nucleotide long non-coding RNA is filed under the name Numida meleagris (helmeted guineafowl). Its description in RNAcentral is "lncRNA (ENSNMEG00000001256.1)". Lineage: Eukaryota; Metazoa; Chordata; Aves; Galliformes; Numididae. The record is from RNAcentral.